Molecule: ribosomal RNA, 755 nt
Filed under: Fictibacillus barbaricus
Lineage: Bacteria; Bacillati; Bacillota; Bacilli; Caryophanales; Fictibacillaceae
Description: bacterial SSU rRNA
Rfam family: Bacterial small subunit ribosomal RNA
Source: RNAcentral
GUAGCGGGUGAAAUGCGUAGAGAUGUGGAGGAAACACCAGUGGCGAAGGCGGCUUUUUUGGCCCUGUAACUGACGCUGAGGCGCGAAAGCGUGGGGAGCAAACAGGAUUAGAUACCCCUGGUAGUCCACGCCGUAAACGAUGAGUGCUAGGUGUUGGGGGGUUCCACCCUCAGUGCUGAAGUUAACACAUUAAGCACUCCGCCUGGGGAGUACGACCGCAAGGUUGAAACUCAAAGGAAUUGACGGGGGCCCGCACAAGCAGUGGAGCAUGUGGUUUAAUUCGAAGCAACGCGAAGAACCUUACCAGGUCUUGACAUCCUCUGACCACUCUAGAGAUAGAGCUUUCCCCUUCGGGGGACAGAGUGACAGGUGGUGCAUGGUUGUCGUCAGCUCGUGUCGUGAGAUGUUGGGUUAAGUCCCGCAACGAGCGCAACCCUUGACCUUAGUUGCCAGCAUUCAGUUGGGCACUCUAAGGUGACUGCCGGUGACAAACCGGAGGAAGGUGGGGAUGACGUCAAAUCAUCAUGCCCCUUAUGACCUGGGCUACACACGUGCUACAAUGGAUGGUACAAAGGGUUGCGAAGCCGCGAGGCCAAGCCAAUCCCAAAAAGCCAUUCUCAGUUCGGAUUGUAGGCUGCAACUCGCCUACAUGAAGCCGGAAUUGCUAGUAAUCGCGGAUCAGCAUGCCGCGGUGAAUACGUUCCCGGGCCUUGUACACACCGCCCGUCACACCACGAGAGUUUGUAACACCCGAA